UGGAAAGUAACAGUUACUUGGAUAACUGCGGUAAUUCUGGAGCUAAUACAUGCAUAAAGCCCCAACUCACGAAGGGGCGCUUUUAUUAGAUCAAAACCAAACGGCUUCGGCUGUACUCUUGGUGAUUCUGAAUAACUUUGGGCUGAUCGCAUAGCCUUGCGCUGGCGACAUAUCCUUCGAAGGUGUGCCCUAUCAACUGUCGACUGUGGCACAGACGCCCACAGUGGUUUUGACGGGUAACGGGGAAUCAGGGUUCGAUUCCGGAGAGGGAGCCUUAAAAACGGCUACCACAUCUAAGGAAGGCAGCAGGCACGCAAAUUACCCAAUGACCGAAGGUCGAGGUAGUGACGAAAAAUAACGAUAGCGGACUCAUCCGAGGUCCGCUAAUUGGAAUGAGUACACUUUAAAACCGUCCCCGAGGAUCUAUUGGAGGGCAAGUCUGGU
RNAcentral lists this ribosomal RNA (444 nucleotides) under uncultured marine eukaryote. RNAcentral describes it as "SSU rRNA". It matches the Rfam family "Eukaryotic small subunit ribosomal RNA", at positions 121 to 565 of the family's 1831-position model. The record is from RNAcentral.